GGGGUAUAGUAGCAAUACUAGAGACCGGCGCACGGGUGCGUAACGCGUAUGCAAUCUACCUUUUACAGAGGGAUAGCCCAGAGAAAUUUGGAUUAAUACCUCAUAGUAUAGCGACCUGGCAUCAGGAUGUUAUUAAAGUCAUAACGGUAAAAGAUGAGCAUGCGUCCCAUUAGCUAGUUGGUAAGGUAACGGCUUACCAAGGCGACGAUGGGUAGGGGUCCUGAGAGGGAGAUCCCCCACACUGGUACUGAGACACGGACCAGACUCCUACGGGAGGCAGCAGUGAGGAAUAUUGGACAAUGGGCGCAAGCCUGAUCCAGCCAUGCCGCGUGCAGGAUGACGGUCCUAUGGAUUGUAAACUGCUUUUGUACAGGAAGAAACCCUUUCACGUGUGAAAGAUUGACGGUACUGUAAGAAUAAGAAUCGGCUAACUCCGUGCCAGCAGCCGCGGUAAUACGGAGGAUCCAAGCAUUAUCCGGAAUCAUUGGGUUUAAAGGGUCCGUAGGCGGCCAGAUAAGUCAGUGGUGAAAGCCCAUCGCUCAACGGUGGAACGGCCAUUGAUACUGUCUGGCUUGAAUUACAAGGAAGUAACUAGAAUAUGUAGUGUAGCGGUGAAAUGCUUAGAGAUUACAUGGAAUACCAAUUGCGAAGGCAGGUUACUACUUGUGGAUUGACGCUGAUGGACGAAAGCGUGGGUAGCGAACAGGAUUAGAUACCCUGGUAGUCCACGCCGUAAACGAUGGAUACUAGCUGUUGGGAGCAAUCUCAGUGGCUAAGCGAAAGUGAUAAGUAUCCCACCUGGGGAGUACGGGCGCAAGCCUGAAACUCAAAGGAAUUGACGGGGGCCCGCACAAGCGGUGGAGCAUGUGGUUUAAUUCGAUGAUACGCGAGGAACCU
This 897-nucleotide ribosomal RNA is filed under the name uncultured Flavobacteriaceae bacterium. RNAcentral describes it as "bacterial SSU rRNA". It matches the Rfam family "Bacterial small subunit ribosomal RNA", at positions 65 to 971 of the family's 1533-position model. The record is from RNAcentral. Lineage: Bacteria; Pseudomonadati; Bacteroidota; Flavobacteriia; Flavobacteriales; Flavobacteriaceae.